AGCAGCCGCGGUAAUUCCAGCUCCAAUAGCGUAUAUUAAAGUUGUUGCAGUUAAAAAGCUCGUAGUUGAAUUUCGGGGUUAGUAGGCUGGUCAUGCCUCCGGUAUGUACUGGUCUUGCUGACUUCUCCUUUCUGAAGAACUGUAAUGCCAUUAAUUUGGUGUUGCAGGGAAUCAGGACUGUUACUUUGAAAAAAUUAGAGUGUUUAAAGCAGGCUAACGCUUGAAUACAUUAGCAUGGAAUAAUGAAAUAGGACGUUCGAUCCUAUUUUGUUGGUUUCUAGGAUUGACGUAAUGAUUAAUAGGGAUAGUUGGGGGCAUUAGUAUUCAAUUGUCAGAGGUGAAAUUCUUGGAUUUAUUGAAGACUAACUACUGCGAAAGCAUUUGCCAAGGAUGUUUUCAUUAAUCAAGAACGAAAGUUAGGGGAUCGAAGACGAUCAGAUACCGUCGUAGUCUUAACCAUAAACUAUGCCGACUAGGGAUCGGAUGAUGUUAAUUUUUUAAUGACUCAUUCGGCGC
Molecule: small RNA, 516 nt
Filed under: uncultured Glomus
Lineage: Eukaryota; Fungi; Glomeromycota; Glomeromycetes; Glomerales; Glomeraceae
Description: SSU rRNA
Rfam family: Eukaryotic small subunit ribosomal RNA
Source: RNAcentral